UGCAGACACACAGGAGCCCCAGCCCCACCAAUGCCUGGUUAUCCCAUAGGGAAGAAGGAAACAGUCUGUUCUGGACCUCACUUUCCCUACCUGUCUUUCCUCUAAUCCAGGAGUGGCCUUAGUGCUUGUCCUGUGGGGCUCCCAGAGAGUGGGAAGACCCCCCAGCUGUGGUCUUCUGUCCCUUUGCCUGCCCACUCUCGCCCAUCCAAGACACAUUUGCAAACUUUCUGGUGAAGGCAGCUGGUUCUCCACAGGAGCUGUUACCUGAGAACUGACAGCCAUGACAACAAAAGCCUGGCAGCCUCUCUGAGAGUUGGCGGGGCUGAAGGAAAGCCCCUGUCACUCUGCCCUCUGCCUGUCCAUCCACCCACAGCCCUGCACACAGAGAAAGAUGCCAUACUAGACGCAAGAUUCAGGUGGACUGUAGUCUCCAGAAUUCAAUGUGGGCACCCUGCCUAUGUCUCUCUGCCUGCCUCCCCCGCACCUAGCCCCAGAGACCUCUGCUGGGUUGAGAAAGGAGUGGUGUCACCUUCCGGCAGAUGCUGACUUUCACCCCUAGCCUGUUACCUCACAGAGCAGGCUGAAGUUGGUUGUUGUGAUGUGCAGUUUAUUUUUGUGGGUGAAGGUGUGAUGUCACAGCAGCUUCAGCUCCUGCCAGCUCAGAGGAGGAAGAGGAAGCGGUUGCAGAUGAUCUAAGACACCACUGUUCGGUCUGCUCAGCCUUCUUCAAAGUUCCAUUCCGAGGGACCUGACACUCACAGGACAAUCUCCACCACAGCCACCAUUCUGGGGACAGACAUGUGAUCUAGGCCAGGCCAGUCAUCACCCAUUGUGGGAUUUGAACAUCUGAGGCACAGGAAAGAGACCCGCUCUGUGCAGGUAGCUCUGGGCAGAGGAGCCCUGCAGUAGCUGGUGGGCACCUGCUGGCCUGAGAGAAGGCAGAGCAGAAGAGGAGGCAGAUGACUGUGGGAAGCCAAGAAGAAAGGCCAAGAGUCCCCCGAGGCCUGCUGCUCCUCUGGCCUUUCUGCUCAGGCUUGGUUUUGUGAUCUGGUAACAUCCCCUUGUGUCUAACUGGCCCUAAUUAGGACUCCAACAUUUGCCACCAUGGCCCUGGAAAGCUUCUGCAGAAUCUCUGAUGGAUGUAUGUGCCAUCCUGGGCCUGGCACAGAAAGUUAUUUCCUGAUCACCUGGCUCUGGUCACCAUCCCAGAAGCAGGGCCUGUCUCUAGGCUAUUUAGUGAGUUUCUGGGAAAAUGCAAAAGCACAAGAAAACUUCAACUCAGAGUCAUUGCAACUGUUCUCUCCACGAUGCCAGCUGAGCUGCCCUGGGGUCCCUGCAGCACAGGUGUCAGUGCUGAUGUUGGCAGCUGCCUACUCCAAGGCAAGGGCCCAGCUGUCCAGUUUUGUCCUUCCAUUCUGUGACCUUGCCCUCUGCUCUGCUCCAGGUGCCUGGCCACGCUCCUCAUCUGUACAUGCCCCCCGUUCUCAGUCAAUGGUCUUUCCAGGAUAGACGCUCAGCCAAACCCGGGGCUGCUCCACUUGCCAGGCAAUUGCUGUACCCGACCUGUUCUUCCUUCUCCAAACCCAACACUGUUCUCUCGCUUUAAAAAUUGUUAAAAAGAAAGUCCCAAGCCCUGGAGCCUGGGGUUUGGUGAUUGUUUGCAGAGCCAUGAGCCAGCUUCCUGUGCUGUCUAGCAGGGCAAUGCUAAGGGAGAGGAAGUGAGGGCCAGGGUGGGAGGGAGGGAGGCCAUGAUCUGCCCAGCAGCAAACACUCAGAGGGGGAGCUGCACGAUUCCCUGCCAUGUCGCAUUUCAUGCUAGGGAUCCAGGCUCCUUCCAGAGCUGGAUGCCAGAGGAACAAAUUGUGGCAACACGCUCCAUUUGGCUUUUGGACUUGACACGUAUCCUGAAGGGCAAUGGACACAUUAUGAAUAGCUAUCCCUGGCCACCUAGGCCUGGAUCCAGUCUCCCGCAUGCAUGGCUCUGUACAUGUUCACACAGGUGCACAUGGUCAUGCAUAGGAGUCCUCGACCUUGUGUGUGCUUCUGAGUAUGCACAUGCACAGUGUGUGUUCCUGCCAGGUUUAUCUACAUCUGCCCUUGUCCUCUGCAAAGCUGAGAAGGUUGAAGGCCCUGAGGCUGCCUAUUCCUGGCCUUUGUCCCCCUCUUGGCCAGCCCCUUUGUCCUUGCCUCCUACACCGGUAAACCACCCACCAGAUACCCACCAAGGGGCACUCACUACGGUUUCCACUUUGUGGCUUAUGAAGAAUACCACUUGUAAAUGCAAUCUUUUCCCUUCAGGUCUUAUAAACCAGAUGUGAUAAUUCUCAGUCUCUGGAAGCUACUGCACAGUAAGAAAAAUGCCAAAACACUCACACCUUAUCUAUGGAUAAAAUCCCCAGCCCUAAGGUGUGCCGCUCCAGGCUUUCCCUAGCCUGGCACCAUCCUGCCUUCCCAUCUCAUCAGAUGUUCUGAAUAUUCUUCUCAGGCUGGAGAUGAAGGGGCAGGAGAAGUCAGCCUGAGACCUGGAGAACUGAGUGCUGGAGGGUUCUUGGAUUCUAGUCUGUUCUCUGCCAAUACUACUUUGUGACUUUCAGACAGUCCCUGCCAUUCUCCGGAAGUGAAGUUUUCUUCUAAAUUAGAUGCGUUCACCAACAUCCAGUUCUCAGCCUGGGGACAGUCACAGCCUCCCAAGGUAGCUUUUGAGGUUUGCAAAGAGCUCAUUUAGUUUAUUGUGGUUCUGUUUGUUUUAAAUGCAUUGUAUCAGUUUUUGUGUGGUUGCCACAGGAAACAAGCUAGCAUAACCUGGGUGGCCUAAAACAACAGAAAUUUAUUCUCAGGAAUAAAUAAGCUUAUUCUGGAAGUCUGAUGUCAUCAGCAGACCUGAGCUGAAAUGAAGAAUCUUAACACAGCUACACUCCUCCAGAAGCUGGAAGAGAGAAGCAUUCCGGCUUCUUGCAGUUCUGGUGGAACACUGAUUCUCCUUGGCUUGUGGUCACAUCACGCUGAUGUCUGUCUCCAGGUCAUGCUCUGUCAUCUCUGUCUGCCUCCCCUUAGAAGGAUACAUGUGCUAGUGUUAGGGCCCACUUAGUGGAUUCAAAAUAACUGCCUCACCUCAAGAUUCUUAAUUCGAUCCUUUCGCUAAAUAUGGUAACAUUUACAGGUUCUGGGGAUUAGGAUCUGAUAUCUUUGGGAUCCAUUAUUCAGCCUGUUACAGCCAUAACACUGAAAUAAUUUAGAAACAUCACUAAAGACAAGAAUGAGGCUUUUAUAUUUAUCAAAGGAGAGCAGGAGUUUGAAAAGGUUGAGAAACAGUGGGUGAAAUGACCUGUAAGCAUUCUUCCAGUCCAACCCCUGUGCAGUUUUACUGCCAUAUGCUGAGGGAAAGAAAUAAAAAAGCA
Long non-coding RNA from Fukomys damarensis (Damara mole-rat), 3398 nucleotides. RefSeq lists it as uncharacterized. NCBI's taxonomy places the organism in Eukaryota, Metazoa, Chordata, Mammalia, Rodentia, Bathyergidae. The record is from RefSeq and is a predicted model, not a curated record. The transcript is spliced from 3 exons.